RNAcentral lists this ribosomal RNA (274 nucleotides) under uncultured bacterium. Its description in RNAcentral is "partial 16S ribosomal RNA". It matches the Rfam family "Bacterial small subunit ribosomal RNA", at positions 523 to 796 of the family's 1533-position model. The record is from RNAcentral.
AUACGGAGGGUGCAAGCGUUAUCCGGAAUCAUUGGGUUUAAAGGGUCCGUAGGCGGGCAAUUAAGUCAGAGGUGAAAUCCCACAGCUCAACUGUGGAACUGCCUUUGAUACUGGUUGUCUUGAGUUAUAGUGAAGUAGAUAGAAUGUGUAGUGUAGCGGUGAAAUGCAUAGAUAUUACACAGAAUACCGAUUGCGAAGGCAGUCUACUAACCGUUGACUGACGCUAAUGGACGAAAGCGUGGGGAGCGAACAGGAUUAGAAACCCCAGUAGUCC